UGUGUCAACAAUUUGAUCCACCAACUACUACUAUAGAAAAUUCGACAUUUUUUUGUUAACUCAAUUCACAUAUAAUGUACAUAUUCUGUGUUCAAUAGCUAUUUUUAUUUUAAUUAAAUUUAAGCAGCCUGCUAUGCAAAACCGCAACAAGUUUCACAGAAUAUACAUAUAUGAAUCCUUUGAAAAAAUAUUCUCGGUGCUCUUAUUUUCCUUCGCACGGCACAUAUCAAUAUAUACACGCAUAUCCCGAGGACAGGCCAAACAAAUCCUCGGGGGAGUUUCUGGCCACACAUCCUGCCCACAAUAAGCGUUGAUAGUCAUCAUAAAAAAAGCCAAAGAAAUGCCCUAAACACAGCCUACAGCCCCUUCUCCACCAUCCACCAUCUCUAAACAGCAUCCAAAGGCAAACAAAGGGGAGCCACUGGAACAACAGCAGCUCCUUAUCACCACCAAAAAUAAAUAUACAAGAAAGGAAAAGAAAAAAAAAACGAGCAAGAUAUAACCCCUUGGGGAAGUCCUGUCCAGAAAUGCUCCGUUGUUUCGUGUUAAAUUGACCGCUCACAUGCAACUUGGGGCCAUGGAAGACAAUAAAUAUUUAUAUGUAAAUGCCGGCAAUAUUGUCUUCAUUGUGCACACAGGGCACCAAACAAACAAACGCAAAAAAGGUGGAGAUUUUGCUAACCUAAACCCGGAGGGUACAGUUCACACCAUGCUAAGUGCGCCAGAGGUCGCACUAAAGUAAGACAUUAAAUGUAACAAUUGAUAUAAUUGUACCCAUUGCGUGUGCUGCAGCAAAGUUAUAUGCUUUUCCAGCCACUGAAAGUAAUGCACACAAAAAAGGCAUUUACACAUAUAUUUCUAUUUAGCAGCUACAUUUAUAUGGCAAAAUUAAUAGAAAUUAUUAAUAACAAAAAAUUACUUAAAUCACUAAAAUUGAACUUUAGUUUUAAGGCCACCUUGUAAAAGAUUACAAAUUGCUUUUCCAAAUUAAAGGGAU
This is a long non-coding RNA of Drosophila yakuba, 997 nucleotides long. RefSeq lists it as uncharacterized. The record is from RefSeq and is a predicted model, not a curated record. The transcript is spliced from 2 exons. Lineage: Eukaryota; Metazoa; Arthropoda; Insecta; Diptera; Drosophilidae.